Molecule: ribosomal RNA, 496 nt
Filed under: uncultured bacterium
Lineage: Bacteria
Description: partial 16S ribosomal RNA
Rfam family: Bacterial small subunit ribosomal RNA
Source: RNAcentral
GAUGAACGCUGGCGGCGUGCCUAAUACAUGCAAGUCGAGCGAACAGACGAGGAGCUUGCUCCUCUGACGUUAGCGGCGGACGGGUGAGUAACACGUGGAUAACCUACCUAUAAGACUGGGAUAACUUCGGGAGACCGGAGCUAAUACCGGAUAAUAUAUUGAACCGCAUGGUUCAAUAGUGAAAGACGGUUUUGCUGUCACUUAUAGAUGGAUCCGCGCCGCAUUAGCUAGUUGGUAAGGUAACGGCUUACCAAGGCAACGAUGCGUAGCCGACCUGAGAGGGUGCUCGGCCACACUGGAACUGAGACACGGUCCAGACUCCUACGGGAGGCAGCAGUAGGGAAUCUUCCGCAAUGGGCGAAAGCCUGACGGAGCAACGCCGCGUGAGUGAUGAAGGUCUUCGGAUCGUAAAACUCUGUUAUUAGGGAAGAACAAAUGUGUAAGUAACUAUGCACGUCUUGACGGUACCUAAUCAGAAAGCCACGGCUAACUACGU